Molecule: ribosomal RNA, 492 nt
Filed under: uncultured bacterium
Lineage: Bacteria
Description: partial 16S ribosomal RNA
Rfam family: Bacterial small subunit ribosomal RNA
Source: RNAcentral
AGUGAACGCUGGCGGUAGGCCUAACACAUGCAAGUCGAACGGCAGCACAGUAAGAGCUUGCUCUUACGGGUGGCGAGUGGCGGACGGGUGAGGAAUACAUCGGAAUCUACUUUUUCGUGGGGGAUAACGUAGGGAAACUUACGCUAAUACCGCAUACGACCUACGGGUGAAAGCAGGGGAUCUUCGGACCUUGCGCGAUUGAAUGAGCCGAUGUCGGAUUAGCUAGUUGGCGGGGUAAAGGCCCACCAAGGCGAGGAUCCGUAGCUGGUCUGAGUGGAUGGUAGGCCACACUGGAGCUGGGCCACGGUCCAUACUCCUACGGGAGGCCGCAGUGGGGAAUAUUGGACAAUGGGCGCAAGCCUGAUCCAGCCAUACCGCGUGGGUGAAGAAGGCCUUCGGGUUGUAAAGCCCUUUUGUUGGUAAAGAAAAGCAGCAGGUUAAUACCACGCUGUUCUGACGGUACCCAAAGAAUAAGCACCGGCUAACUUCGUG